Long non-coding RNA from Bombus huntii, 1584 nucleotides. RefSeq lists it as uncharacterized. The transcript has 2 exons. NCBI's taxonomy places the organism in Eukaryota, Metazoa, Arthropoda, Insecta, Hymenoptera, Apidae. The record is from RefSeq and is a predicted model, not a curated record.
AAAAUGAACGUGGAAUUAGCAUCAGUGGAAAGAAAAAGAAAAGAAAAAAAUUAGCAGAACAGAUGAAAGUUGGUGAUAACGCCAGGAAUUGAAAUAUUGUCCUGGAUCUUGGAUAUGGUUGGAAGCGUGAAAAUAUUAUGAUGAGUUUAUGAACUAAGUAUCAAGGAUUAGGAUUAUUUAGAUGAUACGAGUCUUUGAAGACUUAAAAAUUCCAAUUUUGCUGUUUUUAAUGAACUCUAUUUUGUCUCUGCUUCAGAAUUCUUUUCUUCAACCUUCUCUUUCUUUUUCUUUUUCUUUUUUUGCAAUAUCGAAAGCUCUGUUUUUCCGAUUACUCUUCUAAUUUUCAGAAAAAUAUAAUUCUUGCAAUUAGAGAGCUCAUGAGACAACGAAUAAAGAAGUAAAGAGCAGAGAAUCGCGAGAGCACUGUAGUGGAAUAUACAAAAAAACGUUGUUGAAGAGGACAUUUUUAAUUGCAAAUCUCUCUCAGUUCUCAAGUAGAAGUACACGAUGAUACAACGUGUAAAGUUACUUUGCUACGUUGUUGAUAGGUCGAUGAACUUAAGACGAGAAUAACCAUCCUUCCAAGCAGAUCUUGCAGCUAACCUUGAGGUGUCUGAGUGUCUUCUUCCGAGGACCAAUCUCUUCAAAUUUUUAACAGCCGUUUCAAACGAUCUUCUUAAAAUUUGUUCGAACCCGAAGCUAAUUGAGGGACAUAGUACAAGCAGCCGUUUGUUCGCACACAAAGAAGAGAAAAAUACAGGGACCGAUAUACGACGUCUGUGUUCAUUUAGAAGACUUCGUAAUGACUUUCCAGACGUUUAUGUUCAGCAGCAUAUUAUUCCAUUGGAGUUCGAUUUUACUCGCAGUCUUCUCGACUGAACAUGUCCGUUGUAAAUGGCACGAAACAGUUGGAAAGCUAAUUCUUCUUGCAAAACUGAAGCUGAAGGAUGGUGAUCCUGAUGACAAUUGAUGGAGGAUGAAACGUUAAAGUAACUAUUUAUCCGCGAGUAUUUUUACCGAAGAUUGAGCCAAAGGAAUCGCUUGUUAACCGGUUACCGCGUAAGGAGGAUCGUUAUUAACGGUGCAGCUGAACCAAUUACUUUUGAGCAACGUGCACAGCGUUAAAUGGAGAUCGACACGGUCCUCUCUGAUCGUUGCGGUACGUCGUUAACGUUUGCACCAACGAUUACUCGCAGCAAGGUCAAUAGCACGACGAGCGGAACGUGUUUAUGCGUUCCUGAGACUCUCUCCGCUCAGAAACCGUGAAGAAGAAAGUUUCGUGGUCCGAAUGUUCUAUCAAUCCAUCGUUCGAUGUUUCUGUUAUCGUUAUCGAAUUCUUCGGUUCCUAUCAAGUCUAUGCAACAACGAUUCUUAGUCUCCGAAAACAGUUUUCUUUCUAAAGUAUCUUUAAAUUAACUCUGAACUAUUACCGUGAAGUGCUAGAAGUCCUAGAGUACUGUAGAAUCACCAGUAUUGUCAUAAUCUUGCUGUGAAAUGAAAUACGACUCUAAAUAUCUCUGUAAUCUUCGAUUAAGCGUUGUAUAGUCAUUGUAAUUUGUAAGUUCAGAUAUAAAUCUUUCUAAA